GGAGGUCUGAUGAAAGAUAAAAUACAUUUUCUAUGAUUGGCUGGUUAUAUAAUGUGCUUGACUUAGAAAUAGCAUUGAUGGAGUCGAGGAAAGAAAAAUAAAAUCUGUAUGAAGGUGUUGAGAAUGAGCAAGAUUUAUGACAUUAAUCUUUGGGAGCUUUGUAGUUUUUAUGACGGUUUUUCCUUUUACAUUAACGUGUCAUAGCUGUUUCUUUUGUGCUCCACACAUAUAUGUGAAUAAUACACAGGUGCUUUGCCAUGUCUUUAUUUUUUUUUAUUUUUAUCUUUGUUAUUGUUAACUGUGUUGAAUGUUAUAUUUAUCAGGCUUGGUGUUGAUGUUGGUGGAUAUGAAGACCAAGGAGUUGAGAACUUGAGAUCUAAAUUGUUGUCGCAUCUAGGCAAUUCUACCACGAAAGCAGGCACUUCUCUUCAAAU
RNAcentral lists this long non-coding RNA (434 nucleotides) under Trifolium pratense (red clover). RNAcentral's name for it is "long non-coding RNA (TPRA_LNC007769)". The record is from RNAcentral. Lineage: Eukaryota; Viridiplantae; Streptophyta; Magnoliopsida; Fabales; Fabaceae.